UACGUAGGGUGCAAGCGUUGUCCGGAAUUAUUGGGCGUAAAGAGCUCGUAGGCGGCUUGUUACGUCGACUGUGAAAACCCGGGGCUCAACUCCGGGCCUGCAGUCGAUACGGGCUGGCUUGAGUGCGGUAGGGGAGACUGGAAUUCCUGGUGUAGCGGUGAAAUGCGCAGAUAUCAGGAGGAACACCGGUGGCGAAGGCGGGUCUCUGGGCCGUAACUGACGCUGAGGAGCGAAAGCGUGGGGAGCGAACAGG
RNAcentral lists this ribosomal RNA (253 nucleotides) under uncultured bacterium. RNAcentral's name for it is "partial 16S ribosomal RNA". It matches the Rfam family "Bacterial small subunit ribosomal RNA", at positions 524 to 776 of the family's 1533-position model. The record is from RNAcentral.